UUAAUUAGUAAAACUAUUUUAAGCACAAUACAUCAUACAAAUAUGUCCAUGGAAUACCAGUCGCUGAUACAUUAAUAGGUAAAAGCAUUGUUGCUAUGAAAUACCAUAAUGAUACCCACUUAUUUAAAAGGUUCAUGUGAACCAAAUUGGUUUGGAGCUCCUUUGCCUGAUUAAAUAAAAAUUAAAAUAAAAUAAGAACUUCAAAAAUAAUUGACCCAACCGCAAAAAAAAAGAAGGUAAAUUUGGUCAAACAUAUGGCCAAAAAAAUCAUCUGGGCCAUCGCAAAUUUGGGCAAGCUAGUCGCUACUGAUUUUAAAAUUUUUUUGCAGAGUUUCGUUUAAAAAUAGAUAUUUAGACAAAUCUAAACCUGUCUAUAAAACUUACAAUCAUCCAUACAUAUCCAAACCACCAAAAAAAACCCCAUCAUUUAAUACCCAAAACCAUCAUAUCAUGCAGAAUUAAUACAUAUUCAAUAAUCAACGCAUCCAACCACCAAAAUAUCAAGCUAGUAGCUACUAAUUUCAAGAAAUUUCGGCAGAGUUUCCUUUAAAAAUAGAUAUCCAAAAAUCUAAACCUGUUUAAAAAAAGCUUACAAUCAUCCAUACAUAUCCAACCACCAAAAUAUCAAGCUAGUAGCUACUAAUUUCAAGAAAUUUCGGCAGAGUUUCCUUUAAAAAUAGAUAUCCAAAAAUCUAAACCUGUUUAAAAAAAGCUUACAAUCAUCCAUACAUAUCCAACCACCAAAAUAUCAAGCUAGUAGCUACUAAUUUCAAGAAAUUUCUGCAGAGUUUCCUUUAAAAAUAGAUAUCCAAAAAUCUAAACCUGUUUAAAAAAAGCUUACAAUCAUCCAUACAUAUCCAAACCACCAAAAAAAACAUCAUUUCAAUCUCAAAAUCAUUAUAACAAUGUAUAAUUACCCAACUUUACAAAAGACGGAGAACAAAAAUACAUAUAUGCAGAGAAUAGAGAAACAACAUGUUGAGCACCACCCUUUACUUUACAUCUUACACCAAAUAUAUUUUUUACAACUUACACCAAGUAUACUUCAAUAUAUACCCGAAAAUACAUAUAAUAACAUUUACCUUGUAGAUCUGUCAAGCUUUACCAUGUCUUCGGUACAUAAACCUUUGAAAAGAAAGGCUAUCCAUCUCUAACGUCCACGGCCAACAAAUAUUGUUUGUAACAAAAAUCUGUUAUUUAUAAGAGAAAGCAAAAUGUUAGUAGUAUCGUACGAACGAAACAAUUGACACGUG
RNAcentral lists this long non-coding RNA (1253 nucleotides) under Panax ginseng (ginseng). Its description in RNAcentral is "long non-coding RNA (PGIN_LNC002504)". Lineage: Eukaryota; Viridiplantae; Streptophyta; Magnoliopsida; Apiales; Araliaceae. The record is from RNAcentral.